CUUCCACUUGUGCAGGGCUCAGCAUCCCUGGGGCCUCAACUCCUUAUUCAUCCUGGACUGCUCCUCUGCAUCGGGGCAGUAAGCUCUCUCCCCAGGGUCCCGGCCCACUACUUCCAGGCCCU
This is an unclassified non-coding RNA of Ictidomys tridecemlineatus (thirteen-lined ground squirrel), 122 nucleotides long. The record is from Ensembl. Lineage: Eukaryota; Metazoa; Chordata; Mammalia; Rodentia; Sciuridae.